AUUGAACGCUGGCGGCAGGCCUAACACAUGCAAGUCGAGCGGAUGACGGGAGCUUGCUCCUUGAUUCAGCGGCGGACGGGUGAGUAAUGCCUAGGAAUCUGCCUGGUAGUGGGGGACAACGUUUCGAAAGGAACGCUAAUACCGCAUACGUCCUACGGGAGAAAGCAGGGGACCUUCGGGCCUUGCGCUAUCAGAUGAGCCUAGGUCGGAUUAGCUAGUUGGUGGGGUAAUGGCUCACCAAGGCGACGAUCCGUAACUGGUCUGAGAGGAUGAUCAGUCACACUGGAACUGAGACACGGUCCAGACUCCUACGGGAGGCAGCAGUGGGGAAUAUUGGACAAUGGGCGAAAGCCUGAUCCAGCCAUGCCGCGUGUGUGAAGAAGGUCUUCGGAUUGUAAAGCACUUUAAGUUGGGAGGAAGGGCAGUAAGUUAAUACCUUGCUGUUUUGACGUUACCGACAGAAUAAGCACCGGCUAACUCUGUGCCAGCAGCCGCGGUAAUACAGAGGGUGCAAGCGUUAAUCGGAAUUACUGGGCGUAAAGCGCGCGUAGGUGGUUUGUUAAGUUGGAUGUGAAAGCCCCGGGCUCAACCUGGGAACUGCAUCCAAAACUGGCAAACUAGAGUACGGUAGAGGGUGGUGGAAUUUCCUGUGUAGCGGUGAAAUGCGUAGAUAUAGGAAGGAACACCAGUGGCGAAGGCGACCACCUGGACUGAUACUGACACUGAGGUGCGAAAGCGUGGGGAGCAAA
Molecule: ribosomal RNA, 749 nt
Filed under: uncultured bacterium
Lineage: Bacteria
Description: bacterial SSU rRNA
Rfam family: Bacterial small subunit ribosomal RNA
Source: RNAcentral